Molecule: ribosomal RNA, 253 nt
Filed under: uncultured bacterium
Lineage: Bacteria
Description: partial 16S ribosomal RNA
Rfam family: Bacterial small subunit ribosomal RNA
Source: RNAcentral
UACGGGGGGGGCAAGCGUUGUUCGGAAUUACUGGGCGUAAAGGGCUCGUAGGCGGCCAACUAAGUCAGACGUGAAAUCCCUCGGCUUAACCGGGGAACUGCAUCUGAUACUGGAUGGCUUGAGUUCGGGAGAGGGACGCGGAAUUCCAGGUGUAGCGGUGAAAUGCGUAGAUAUCUGGAGGAACACCGGUGGCGAAGGCGGCGUCCUGGACCAACACUGACACUGAGGAGCGAAAGCCAGGGGAGCAAACGGG